Molecule: ribosomal RNA, 701 nt
Filed under: Cryptococcus sp. HA 2257
Lineage: Eukaryota; Fungi; Basidiomycota; Tremellomycetes; Tremellales; Cryptococcaceae
Description: eukaryotic LSU rRNA
Rfam family: Eukaryotic large subunit ribosomal RNA
Source: RNAcentral
CUCAUUGUGUAACUUUGACAUCUGGCCUCAAAUCAGGUAGGACUACCCGCUGAACUUAAGCAUAUCAAUAAGCGGAGGAAAAGAAACUAACAAGGAUUCCCCUAGUAACGGCGAGUGAAGCGGGAAGAGCUCAAAUUUGAAAUCUGGUGGCCUCAGGUCAUCCGAGUUGUAAUCUAUAGAAGUGUUUUCCGUGCUGGCUCAUGUACAAGUCCCUUGGAACAGGGCGUCAUAGAGGGUGAGAAUCCCGUCCUUGACAUGAACUACCAGUGCUCUGUGAUACAUUUUCAACGAGUCGAGUUGUUUGGGAAUGCAGCUCAAAAUGGGUGGUAAAUUCCAUCUAAAGCUAAAUAUUGGCGAGAGACCGAUAGCGAACAAGUACCGUGAGGGAAAGAUGAAAAGCACUUUGGAAAGAGAGUUAAACAGUAUGUGAAAUUGUUAAAAGGGAAACGAUUGAAGUCAGUCGUGCUCUUUGGAUUCAGCCGGUUCUGCCGGUGUACUUCCUUUGAGUGGGGUCAACAUCAGUUUUGAUCGCUGGAUAAAGGCUGGAGGAACGUAGCACCCUCGGGUGAACUUAUAGCCUCCUGUCACAUACAGUGGUUGGGACUGAGGAACGCAGCAUGCCUUUAUGGCCGGGAUUCGUCCACGUACAUGCUUAGGAUGUUGACAUAAUGGCUUUAAACGACCCGUCUUGAAACACGGAC